RNAcentral lists this ribosomal RNA (439 nucleotides) under uncultured bacterium. RNAcentral's name for it is "partial 16S ribosomal RNA". It matches the Rfam family "Bacterial small subunit ribosomal RNA", at positions 339 to 795 of the family's 1533-position model. The record is from RNAcentral.
CUACGGGUCGCUCCAGUGAGGAAUAUUGCACAAUGGGGGGAACCCUGAUGCAGCAACGCCGCGUGGAGGAUGACGCAUUUCGGUGUGUAAACUCCUUUUAUAUGUCAAGAAAAUGACGGUAGCAUAUGAAUAAGCACCGGCUAACUCCGUGCCGGCAGCCGCGGUAAUACGGAGGGUGCAAGCGUUACUCGGAAUCACUGGGCGUAAAGGACGCGUAGGCGGGUUGGAAAGUCAGGUGUGAAAUCCUACAGCUUAACUGUAGAACUGCACUUGAAACUUCUAAUCUAGAGUAUGGGAGGGGGAGAUGGAAUUAGUGGUGUAGGGGUAAAAUCCGUGGAUAUCACUAGGAAUACCUAAAGCGAAGGCGAUCUCCUGGAACAUUACUGACGCUAAGGCGUGAAAGCGUGGGGAGCAAACAGGAUUAGAUACCCCAGUAGUC